UGCCCCAUCGCAUCUGCCCUAGCAAUCACCAUCGGCCAUCGUCACGAAGUCAAGUGUCGCCGCCAUCAGCAAGCCGCAUAGGGCACCUAGGACUGCUGCACAAGUCCCUCAGCUGGUCAUCCUUACCUCUGGAAUCUCCUUGCCGAUCCAUAUCGUAGCCAGGUCCGUAGAAGCCAAUAGCAGGAGGUUGGGCAAUCAAGAUCGAGAUUUGGUUUAGAGAACGAGAACCAUUUUAUCGGUGUUGAAGAUUAAGAGGGCUAUGACCAGAAGAUAACUCAAGGUUCUCUAAAGGAGUUGCUUUGGAUAUAAAGCAAGC
This is a long non-coding RNA of Sorghum bicolor (sorghum), 316 nucleotides long. RefSeq lists it as uncharacterized. NCBI's taxonomy places the organism in Eukaryota, Viridiplantae, Streptophyta, Magnoliopsida, Poales, Poaceae. The transcript is spliced from 3 exons. The record is from RefSeq and is a predicted model, not a curated record.